RNAcentral lists this ribosomal RNA (372 nucleotides) under uncultured organism. Its description in RNAcentral is "partial 16S ribosomal RNA". It matches the Rfam family "Bacterial small subunit ribosomal RNA", at positions 527 to 896 of the family's 1533-position model. The record is from RNAcentral.
GUAGGUGGCAAGCGUUGUCCGGAAUUAUUGGGCGUAAAGCGCGCGCAGGCGGUUCUUUAAGUCUGAUGUGAAAGCCCACGGGCUCAACCGUGGAGGGUCAUUGGAAACUGGAGAACUUGAGUACAGAAGAGGAAAGCGGAAUUCCACGUGUAGCGGUGGAAUGCGUAGAGAUGUGGAGGAACACCAGUGGCGAAGGCGGCUUUCUGGUCUGUAACUGACGCUGAGGCGCGAAAGCGUGGGGAGCAAACAGGAUUAGAUACCCUGGUAGUCCACGCCGUAAACGAUGAGUGCUAAGUGUUAGGGGGUUUCCGCCCCUUAGUGCUGCAGCUAACGCAUUAAGCACUCCGCCUGGGGAGUACGGCCGCAAGGCUG